GAAGGCAUCUUAGCAGUGUGUUAGUGGAAUCCAGUUACUGGUUCUUUUUCAUUCUGUCUUUUUCUUCUUUUUUUUCAAGGACUGUAUCUGCACUGCUUAGACCACAAAUGGAGCUGGGGAAUUCUUACAGAGAUAACCCUAUGCCAUUUUUCCCUACUGUUUCUAGUAUAAAGAUGUCAGGACUGUAUUAGGAUUAAGAAUAGAUAUAGAGCACGUCCGGAAAAGCUGUAGGAAAAGACUUAUCAGGCUAAAGCACAGUAUAAGCUUUUCUACAAAUAGUUUAUUUACAGAAAAAUAUAGAUAUGAGAGAUCUGGACAAUGUUGUAGAUUAUACAAAACUGGAAUUAGAAAAAAUGUAAAAUAUUCAUGGACUUUUUUAGCAUCUUUUUCAGAUCUUAAGCUGGUAAAAGUCACUAGAAAAAAAAAAAAAAAAUAGAGUGAUAAAAUAAGAGCCAGAAAACAUCAACCAAAUUUCUUGCUAUCCUUUCCCUUAUACAUCUGCUAGCCAAUUCUACCCAUGUGUCAACAAUCUGCUGACGUAGUUCCAAAAUGCUGUUGAGGCUCUGAGUGCAUUAAUAUGCCUUAAUGGCCCUGACUCCUUUCAGCUGGGGCCACACACCCACACCUUUGCUCUUGGGCACAGGAACUCCAGGGACUCUCAGCCUCUCUGCUCACCUUGCCUAGGCGUUGGUGCAGCGGUGCCCUGCUGGCCUUGCUCUCUGACCUGGCUCUGUCUGGUGGGAAGCAGCUGGCUCUGGCCCUUCCUGGGAGGGCAGUUUGUUGGAGCCCUGACUGAUGUGGUCGUGGGUGAGUCCAGAUUGGUUGGUAGAAGUAGCAUUUUUUAGAUGUCUUAAAGACAUGAUACAGAAUGUUUAAAUCUAUGUCUACUUUUUAAGUCUUAAAUACUUUUGAGACAAUUUUCAGUAGCUUUUCAGUGUUUUUUUGUUUGUUUCUGACAAUCAUUCUCCCUAAUUCAUGAGUGUCCUUCCUAAAUAUAUUUUGGAAACGAAGCAAGGUGUUACUGGAGAGCCUUCAGCUUUUGUGGCAAUUCAAGGAGUCUGCAUAUGCAGCAGUAGUGCUAUUUAAAAUGUAAAACAUAAGAAUAAGGCCUUUGCCAAACAGCCUAUUUACAGGCAGAUGUUAGUGACUCACACACCUGGAGCUGAUGAAACCAGAUUGAGUCCUGUUAGCCUGCAGAUGGUUGAAGGCUAUUCUCACUAGCAGCACUGUGGAUAUGGAGGCUCCGUGAGAAAAUUGCUGUUUGCUGACCAGAAAGGUAAAAGGGCAAUUACUGUUUCUGUAAUAUUAGCAAUAAUAUAUAGAGGGAGACGUUUUUUCUGGAUGACAUAUCUGCAAGUGUCAUUCUCCUGUGCAAUUCUUCAGCUUAUGCUCCUACUUCUCUAACUAAUUAAGCAGGACAAGUCAGCCAGCUCACAGUGGCUUUUGCCUAUGUUGGAAUAGCAGCCUUCCAGCAGCUGGUAGAUAAUAAAAGACUAGAAAUGUAUUUUAAGUAUCUUGAA
Molecule: long non-coding RNA, 1520 nt
Filed under: Phasianus colchicus (ring-necked pheasant)
Lineage: Eukaryota; Metazoa; Chordata; Aves; Galliformes; Phasianidae
Description: lncRNA (ENSPCLG00000004768.1)
Source: RNAcentral